RNAcentral lists this ribosomal RNA (274 nucleotides) under uncultured bacterium. RNAcentral's name for it is "partial 16S ribosomal RNA". It matches the Rfam family "Bacterial small subunit ribosomal RNA", at positions 523 to 796 of the family's 1533-position model. The record is from RNAcentral.
AUACGGAGGGUGCAAGCGUUACUCGGAAUCACCGGGCGUAAAGGACGCGUAGGCGGGUUGGCAAGUCAGAUGUGAAAUCCUACAGCUUAACUGUAGAACUGCAUUUGAAACUGCUAACCUAGAGUAUGGGAGGGGGAGAUGGAAUUAGUGGUGUAGGGGUAAAAUCCGUAGAUAUCACUAGGAAUACCGAAAGCGAAGGCGAUCUCCUGGAACAUAACUGACGCUAAGGCGUGAAAGCGUGGGGAGCAAACAGGAUUAGAAACCCGAGUAGUCC